GUCAAAUUUAUAAAUAAAAUACAUAUUAAAUAUAAAUUUGAAAUAAAAAAUGGUCAACCUGAUACCAAAAUUGUAGCUAUCUUAGACAGGAUAUGCUAAACAUAAGUUUUAAUUCAAUUAAUCAAAUAAAUGAGUAAAACAGUACAAUUAUUGAAAUCUUAGAUGCGUAUAUAAGACUUAACAACCGUUAGCUUAAAAAAACAGUAAUUUAAGUGAAGUGAUAUUUUGGUGCCCUAUUCUUGUCAGCUUAGAGAGAGGUUGAAAAUCGACACGUGGUGGCGCUACUUUCGUUUGACUUAAUGUCGUUAUAGUUAUUUUUAAAUCAAUUCAAUUUUUUUAUAAAUUUACACUGGUCACAUUUCGAUCACAAUUUUUCACCAUUGACCCGCGAUGGUCGUACGUUAUAAAAUAAGAUUUAACCAUACAGGAAUCAAACUCUUACCUGUCACCGUAAACUAUUUUCAGAAAUAAUUAAGGUAUUUAUUUUCGGUUAGAAUAUUAUUAAGUUUUAUCGAUUAAUGAUGUUUCGUAUCUUAAAAUCAACUCACAUUGUACACAGUCCAUAUUAAAGAACGAAAACAAUUUGUGUAUUAAAGAACUUAUUAAAAAUAAA
Long non-coding RNA from Bombyx mori (domestic silkworm), 613 nucleotides. RefSeq lists it as uncharacterized. Lineage: Eukaryota; Metazoa; Arthropoda; Insecta; Lepidoptera; Bombycidae. The transcript is spliced from 2 exons. The record is from RefSeq and is a predicted model, not a curated record.